UACGGGGGGAGCAAGCGUUGUUCGGAUUUACUGGGCGUAAAGGGCGCGUAGGCGGCCAGCACAAGUCAGUUGUGAAAUCUCCGAGCUUAACUCGGAAAGGUCAACUGAUACUGUGCGGCUAGAGUGCGGAAGGGGCAACUGGAAUUCUUGGUGUAGCGGUGAAAUGCGUAGAUAUCAAGAGGAACACCUGCGGCGAAGGCGGGUUGCUGGGCCGACACUGACACUGAGGAACGAAAGCCAGGGGAGCAAACGGG
Molecule: ribosomal RNA, 254 nt
Filed under: uncultured bacterium
Lineage: Bacteria
Description: partial 16S ribosomal RNA
Rfam family: Bacterial small subunit ribosomal RNA
Source: RNAcentral